CUUUAUGCAAAAUGAUGGAUCCUUUUUGGAUCUAAAUACACACGGUUUGUCUGAACUAUUAAAAUAUAUAUUUAUAUCAUAAAUAAUGAAGGAAGCAAAUGGUACAGAAAACAUAGAGGUUUAUAGGUGGUUCUUUCUAAGACAAAUAGGUGUGUUGCCCACCCAGUAUUUCGCCCAGCUGGACAAAGUUGGUAACCUGGGACCACACAGUGGUAGCUGCCUACAGAGGUACCAAGGCUUUUAUUCCAUCAGCCCCUUUCCAGUUCUUCCUUCCAUGCUCAGAACCUGCCUUUUUCAGAGUGAGUUGCCAUCUGUGAGCAAUCUACAUUCCCAGCCUCAUCAUUAAUUUGUGUCAUUUCUUGAGAACAGCACUAUCAUGUACUAAGGGCGUAUAUGGAUGUGUUCUUGACCUUGGAGCUGAUCUCUUCAAAGCCAUGCUGGCAACCAAAGUGUCUGUGCCCACGUGGCUGAGCCUCUCUGCAUCCCCGUGCCAUUAUUUCCAUGCACGUAGAAAUGAGGAUGUAAAAGGAAGAAUGACACAACGUGGACGGAAACAACAGGCUGGUGCAGCUGGGAUAUUUACAGAUAAAGGAAGGACCACAAGGUACUUGUAGCAAAUCAUGUCAUCUCAUUCUUCAUUCAGGAUACCGUAAUGCAGAUGUAGAGUGAAUCAAAAAGCAUAGAGGUUUUUUUUUUUCUUUUCACAAACAAAGCAGGAAAAAAGGGACAAAAAUGAAUGUGAAGAGAGGCAAACAAAGAGCUGAGUCCUUGUGAGUCCUUGUCUCCUGCUUCAGGGCUGUGGAGAAUGGCAUGGUGUGAGAGAGAUUUUUUCCUACAAGCACAGCAAAGGUGCUGCAUCACCCUCUGCAGGGUGUCUGUGAGUGUAUUAAGGUCUGCCUGGGGCCAUGUAAGCCCCUCGUGUUGGAACAAUCCCCUUGCCAUAGCUUCAUGCAUUCCCAUGCAUCAGCCAUCUCCACUCCCAGAAGCUCCAGCUGCUUUCUGGGGCUGCACCACCAGAGAUGGCAUAGAAUCCAUCAGAGGGGUGGAUGUGCACAGCAGGAGAGCAUCCAUCACCAGCAGCGUGUUGGAAUUGGGCAGCACAGGGUGGAUCCAGGGCUCUCAUCCAACCGACUGCAAAACAGCUGCCCUAUUUUAACUUACCAUUCCAGCCUGCAGAAAGACACAGGGUUCUGGAUGAGAGUGGCUGCGUAGAUCAGGAAACGAUGGACUCAGAAUCACAGAAUGACCAAGGCUGGAGAAGAUCUCUAAGACCACCCAGUCCAACCAUCCACCCAUCACCAGUAUUUCACCCCUAAACCAUGCCCCUUAGUACAGCAUCUCGAUGUUUCUUGAUCACCUCCAAGGAUGGUGACUCCACCACCUCCCUGAGCAGUCUGUUCCAGCACCUGGCUACACUUUUGGAGGAAAAAAUCCCUACUAUCCAACCUGAACCUCCCCUGGCACAUAAAAGCAUUCAAUAAAAAUAGGUUGGUAUCAUUAAAAAUGUGGGGA
This 1512-nucleotide long non-coding RNA is filed under the name Coturnix japonica (Japanese quail). RNAcentral describes it as "lncRNA (ENSCJPG00005020672.1)". Lineage: Eukaryota; Metazoa; Chordata; Aves; Galliformes; Phasianidae. The record is from RNAcentral.